RNAcentral lists this ribosomal RNA (429 nucleotides) under Chloroflexota bacterium. RNAcentral's name for it is "Chloroflexi bacterium partial 16S ribosomal RNA". It matches the Rfam family "Bacterial small subunit ribosomal RNA", at positions 355 to 776 of the family's 1533-position model. The record is from RNAcentral. Lineage: Bacteria; Bacillati; Chloroflexota.
UAGGGAAUCUUCGGCAAUGGACGAAAGUCUGACCGAGCAACGCCGCGUGAGUGAAGAAGGUUUUCGGAUCGUAAAACUCUGUUGUUAGAGAAGAACAAGGACGUUAGUAACUGAACGUCCCCUGACGGUAUCUAACCAGAAAGCCACGGCUAACUACGUGCCAGCAGCCGCGGUAAUACGUAGGUGGCAAGCGUUGUCCGGAUUUAUUGGGGGUAAAGCGAGCGCAGGCGGUUUCUUAAAUCUGAUGUGAAAGCCCCCGGCUCAACCGGGGAGGGUCAUUGGAAACUGGGGGACUUGAGUGCAGAAGAGGGGGGUGGAAUUCCAUGUGUAGCGGUGAAAUGCGUAGAUAUAUGGAGGGAAACCAGUGGCGAAGGCGGCUCUCUGGUCUGUAACUGACGCUGAGGCUCGAAAGCGUGGGGAGCAAACAGG